GGAUGAGCCCGCGGCCUAUCAGCUUGUUGGUGGGGUAACGGCCUACCAAGGCAUCGACGGGUAGCUGGUCUGAGAGGACGAUCAGCCACACUGGGACUGAGACACGGCCCAGACUCCUACGGGAGGCAGCAGCAGGGAAUCUUGCGCAAUGGGCGAAAGCCUGACGCAGCAACGCCGCGUGGGGGAUGACGGCCUUCGGGUUGUAAACCCCUUUCAGGAGGGAAGAAAUUGACGGUACCUCCAGAAGAAGCCCCGGCCAACUACGUGACAGCAGCCGCGGCCG
RNAcentral lists this ribosomal RNA (283 nucleotides) under uncultured Actinomycetales bacterium. Its description in RNAcentral is "partial 16S ribosomal RNA". It matches the Rfam family "Bacterial small subunit ribosomal RNA", at positions 223 to 523 of the family's 1533-position model. The record is from RNAcentral. Lineage: Bacteria; Bacillati; Actinomycetota; Actinomycetes; Actinomycetales.